AGAGUUUGAUCAUGGCUCAGGACGAACGCUGGCGGCGUGCCUAAUACAUGCAAGUCGAGCGAAUCUUGAGGAGCUUGCUCCUUAAGGUUAGCGGCGGACGGGUGAGUAACACGUGGGCAACCUGCCUGUAAGACUGGGAUAACACCGGGAAACCGGUGCUAAUACCGGAUAAUUCUUCACCUCUCAUGAGGUGAAGCUGAAAGUCGGUUUCGGCUGACACUUACAGAUGGGCCCGCGGCGCAUUAGCUAGUUGGUGAGGUAACGGCUCACCAAGGCGACGAUGCGUAGCCGACCUGAGAGGGUGAUCGGCCACACUGGGACUGAGACACGGCCCAGACUCCUACGUGAGGCAGCAGUAGGGAAUCUUCCGCAAUGGACGAAAGUCUGACGGAGCAACGCCGCGUGAGUGAUGAAGGCCUUCGGGUCGUAAAACUCUGUUGUUAGGGAAGAACAAGUGCCGGAGUAACUGCCGGUACCUUGACGGUACCUAACCAGAAAGCCACGGCUAACUACGUGCCAGCAGCCGCGGUAAUACGUAGGUGGCAAGCGUUGUCCGGGAUUAUUGGGCGUAAAGCGCGCGCAGGCGGUCCUUUAAGUCUGAUGUGAAAGCCCACGGCUCAACCGUGGAGGGUCAUUGGAAACUGGGGGACUUGAGUGCAGAAGAGGAAAGCGGAAUUCCGCGUGUAGCGGUGAAAUGCGUAGAGAUGUGGAGGAACACCAGUGGCGAAGGCGGCUUUCUGGUCUGUAACUGACGCUGAGGCGCGAAAGCGUGGGGAGCAAACAGGAUUAGAUACCCUGGUAGUCCACGCCGUAAACGAUGAGUGCUAAGUGUUAGAGGGUUUCCGCCCUUUAGUGCUGCAGCUAACGCAUUAAGCACUCCGCCUGGGGAGUACGGCCGCAAGGCUGAAACUCAAAGGAAUUGACGG
RNAcentral lists this ribosomal RNA (926 nucleotides) under uncultured bacterium. Its description in RNAcentral is "bacterial SSU rRNA". It matches the Rfam family "Bacterial small subunit ribosomal RNA", at positions 8 to 916 of the family's 1533-position model. The record is from RNAcentral.